UACGGAGGGAGCUAGCGUUGUUCGGAAUUACUGGGCGUAAAGCGCACGUAGGCGGCUUUGUAAGUUAGAGGUGAAAGCCCGGGGCUCAACUCCGGAACUGCCUUUAAGACUGCAUCGCUAGAAUCCGGGAGAGGUGAGUGGAAUUCCGAGUGUAGAGGUGAAAUUCGUAGGUAUUCGGAAGAACACCAGUGGCGAAGGCGGCUCACUGGACCGGUAUUGACGCUGAGGUGCGAAAGCGUGGGGAGCAAACAGG
RNAcentral lists this ribosomal RNA (253 nucleotides) under uncultured bacterium. Its description in RNAcentral is "partial 16S ribosomal RNA". It matches the Rfam family "Bacterial small subunit ribosomal RNA", at positions 524 to 776 of the family's 1533-position model. The record is from RNAcentral.